Molecule: ribosomal RNA, 261 nt
Filed under: uncultured bacterium
Lineage: Bacteria
Description: partial 16S ribosomal RNA
Rfam family: Bacterial small subunit ribosomal RNA
Source: RNAcentral
GUCCACACCGUAAACGAUGAUUACUAGGUGUUGGAGGAUUGACCCCUUCAGUGCCGCAGUUAACACAAUAAGUAAUCCACCUGGGGAGUACGACCGCAAGGUUGAAACUCAAAGGAAUUGACGGGGGCCCGCACAAGCAGUGGAGUAUGUGGUUUAAUUCGACGCAACGCGAAGAACCUUACCAAGUCUUGACAUCCCUUGACAGACAUAGAAAUAUGUAUUCUCUUCGGAGCAAGGAGACAGGUGGUGCAUGGUUGUCGU